CAGGUAAAUCGGACAAUCGCCGGCAAAAUCCGCAAGGUUUUUGCGGGAGGAAAGUCCGGACACCGACCGAUGCAUGGCAACUGUCGUGCAACGGUUAUGAAUAGCGGGUAACACCCGCCCGGUUUGUCGCGAGACAAAUCGAGGGAUAGUGCCACAGAGACAAUACUAAUCCGCCUCGGGCGGGCAAAAGGUGAAAAGUGAAUUUGUGUUUUUCGUUGUUUUCUUAAGAAAUAAUGAAUGAGCGAUAAUUCUCGUCUUUCGGUAACGAAAUGACGCGGUAAACCCUAUUCGGUGCAAGGUCGUGCCCUGUCACUCACGAGUGACGGGGAGUACCGCUUAUGAUCAUAUUGGCGACAAUAUGGCUAGAUAAAUGAUUGUCGAAGGUUUGUUUGUCAUUACUCAAACCCGAACAGAAUCCGGCUUAUAGAUUUAUCUGAUUA
This 440-nucleotide RNase P RNA is filed under the name Candidatus Moraniibacteriota bacterium. RNAcentral's name for it is "RNase P RNA component class A". It matches the Rfam family "Bacterial RNase P class A". Rfam says of the family: Ribonuclease P (RNase P) is a ubiquitous endoribonuclease, found in archaea, bacteria and eukarya as well as chloroplasts and mitochondria. Its best characterised activity is the generation of mature 5'-ends of tRNAs by cleaving the 5'-leader elements of precursor-tRNAs. Cellular RNase Ps are ribonucleoproteins. Lineage: Bacteria; Candidatus Moraniibacteriota. The record is from RNAcentral.